This 320-nucleotide ribosomal RNA is filed under the name uncultured eukaryote. RNAcentral's name for it is "partial 18S ribosomal RNA". It matches the Rfam family "Eukaryotic small subunit ribosomal RNA", at positions 1470 to 1796 of the family's 1831-position model. The record is from RNAcentral.
CCCUUAGACGUUCUGGGCCGCACGCGCGCUACACUGAUUCAUGCAACAAGUUUUGUCCUUGGCUGAUAGGCCUGGGUAAUCUUUGAACGUGAAUCGUGAUGGGGAUAGAUGAUUGCAAUUAUUCAUCUUCAACGAGGAAUUCCUAGUAAACGCAAGUCAUCAGCUUGCAUUGAUUACGUCCCUGCCCUUUGUACACACCGCCCGUCGCACCUACCGAUUGAAUGGUCCGGUGAAAUCUCGGGACGGCGGCUUGGUCGCUUGCGUCCGACUGCUGAAACUUGAUUAAACCAUAUCAUUUAGAGGAAGGUGAAGUCGUAACA